AAUGACGAUAUCUAACAUUUACGGGGUGAAAUCUAUCCAAGUCAGAGAAAAUCGGAUAGCCGCCAUGUUGUCAACAUUGACAUCGAUACAAAGGAAAAGCGUGUGUGUGACGCAUACUGUUAAUGCAAACAAGGAAAUUGUGGAACAUGUUCACACACUCUGGCUGUAAAAGUAGACCUGGGAGGAAAAGUGCCCCCGGUGUGGGGCUCGAACUCACAACCACCAGAACACUAGCCCGGCGCUCUAACCAACUAAGCUGACCGGGCAGCUGGUUCUAACCCACACACACUACCCUCCCCCCAUUUACCGGUUAAGGCUGGUGGAGGGUCUCCUGCUAUUUACCGUUGACACCAUUAAAGUAUUCUGAUUGAUGGAGAUAAGGAAGUCCCCUUAUUAUUGUCUUCAACAAGCCUACCGCCACAGGGGACCUAGCAUAAGACCAGAAACCGCCCCCCCCACACACACACACACAUGAUAUUUGCCAGUCCAGGCAAUGUCAACCGCAAGAGAAAACCAGUGAUGACAAGUUUUACAAAUAAUCGGAAAGUGUGGUCUUUUGAAGAGAGUUCUUGAAGUUGUUCAGCAUGUUGUUUUGAUGGAUUCUUGGAAGGAUGUACCUCUAUGAUGUUAGCUUCAGUUCUGGAGUAUAACACCAGUUGUUUCAUAUUUAAUAUCAGA
Long non-coding RNA from Mya arenaria, 678 nucleotides. RefSeq lists it as uncharacterized. The record is from RefSeq and is a predicted model, not a curated record. The transcript has 3 exons. Lineage: Eukaryota; Metazoa; Mollusca; Bivalvia; Myida; Myidae.